AUGGCUUCUGAUGGGCUCCCAGAGGCAGUCGAACCCAAGCUGAAGAAGGGCAACAUCAAGUAUGCCUCCACCUGCGCCGUCGUCGCCUCCAUGGCCUCCAUCGUCCUCGGCUACGACAUCGGUGUGAUGAGCGGGGCGUCGCUGUACAUCCAGAAAGACCUCGAGAUCACGGACGUGCAGGUGGAGAUCCUCAUGGGCAUCCUGAGCAUCUACUCCAUCAUCGGCUCCUUCGCCGCCGGCAGGACGUCCGACUGGAUCGGCCGCCGCUUCACGGUGAUCUUUGUCGCCGCCUUCUUCUUUGCUGGUGCCUUGCUCAUGGGCUUCGCGAACGGCUACACCAUGCUCAUGCUUGGUCGCUUCGUGGCCGGCAUCGGCGUGGGCUACGCCAUCGUGAUCGCUCCCCUGUACACGGCUGAGAUCGCCCCGGCGUCGGCGCGCGGCUUCCUCGUGUCCUUCACGGAGGUCUUCAUCAACCUUGGUAUCCUCCUCGGCUACGUCUCCAACUACGCCUUCGCUCGCCUCCCUCUCCACCUCGGCUGGCGCUUCAUGCUCGGCAUUGGCGCGAUGCCAUCCGUCCUUCUUGCCCUCCUGCUGUCCGGCAUGCCGGAGUCUCCCCGGUGGCUCGUCAUGAAAGGCCGCCUCGCGGACGCGAGGAUCGUGCUGGAGAAGAUCGCCGACACGCCGGAGGAGGCCGAGGAGCGCCUCGCUGACAUCAAGACCGCUGCCGGAAUCCCAGACGACCUCGACGGCGACGUGGUGGUCGUGCCCAGGAAGAGAGGCGGCGAGGAGAAGCAGGUGUGGAGAGAGCUCAUCGUGUCGCCGACCCCCUCCAUGCGGCGAAUACUGCUCACGGCGCUCGGCCUCUUCUUCUUCCAGCAGUUGACGGGCUCCGACUCCGUGGUGCUUUACAGCCCGCGCGUGUUCGAGAGCGCCGGUAUCACCGGCGACGACCAACUCCUGGCCGCCACCUGCGCCAUGGGCGUCGCCAAGACGCUCGUCAUCCUGGUCGCUAUGUUCCUCCUCGACCGCGUCGGCCGGCGGCCGCUGCUGCUAUGCAGCACCGGCGGCAUGAUCGUCUCGCUCGUCGGCCUCGCGACGGGCCUCACCGUCGUGGAUCAGAACCCGGACGCGAGGAUCCCGUGGGCGGUCGGCCUGUGCGUGGCGUCCGUCCUGGCCUACGUGUCAUCCUUCUCCAUCGGCCUCGGGCCCGUGUUGGGCGUGUACACCACGGAGAUAUUCCCGCUGCGGGUGCGCGCGCUGGGCUUCGCGGUCGGGGCGGCCGGCAACCGUGUGGUGAGCGGCGUCAUGUCCAUGACCUUCCUCUCGCUGUCCGGCGCCAUCACGCUGGGCGGAACCUUCUUCCUCUACGCCGGCAUCGCCGUGCUCGCGUGGGUGUUCUUCUUCACCUGCCUCCCUGAGACGCGCGGCCGGACGCUGGAGGAGAUGGGCAGUCUGUUCGGCAUGACCGACACGGGGGCGGAGGCACAAGAUGCUGCCCCCGGGACACAGGACGCGAGCUGCAGGGUGAGACUCUUGGGCAACUCGCCUGGAGCCAGAGUUGAUUAA
Molecule: ribosomal RNA, 1566 nt
Filed under: Triticum aestivum (bread wheat)
Lineage: Eukaryota; Viridiplantae; Streptophyta; Magnoliopsida; Poales; Poaceae
Description: partial small subunit ribosomal RNA
Source: RNAcentral